GAGGGUACAACUCAGUGGUAGAGUACGUGCCUAGCAUGCAUGAGGUCCUGGGUUUAAUCCCCAGUAUCUCCA
Molecule: transfer RNA, 72 nt
Filed under: Camelus bactrianus (Bactrian camel)
Lineage: Eukaryota; Metazoa; Chordata; Mammalia; Artiodactyla; Camelidae
Also listed under: 1 other name
Rfam family: tRNA
About the family: Transfer RNA (tRNA) molecules are approximately 80 nucleotides in length. Their secondary structure includes four short double-helical elements and three loops (D, anti-codon, and T loops).
Source: Rfam by way of RNAcentral